Molecule: non-coding RNA, 1623 nt
Organism: Cricetulus griseus (Chinese hamster)
Lineage: Eukaryota; Metazoa; Chordata; Mammalia; Rodentia; Cricetidae
Source: RefSeq, a predicted model, not a curated record
UCUGGCGAGUGAGCCUCCCACUGCCAUACCACCCUGUCUCCUCUCCUGGUGAGCCUGGGAACCCGUUCACUACUACGCAGAUGCCUUCGGGAGCCAGAAGCGAAUGGGGAAAUGGACGUGGUGCAGAGAAGCGGCAGAGCCACCGCAGACGCUUGGCUGCGCGAACACCAGAGCCGGAGCGAGCUCUCGCUCUUGGAAGACCUUCGAAGCCUAGACCUCCCACAGACCCUGCGCUCCCCACGUAGCAGGAGCACUAGACAUCCCACAGGAGUCUGACUCCCCGAAGUGUGGACGCUUGGUGCUUUGAGAUGUUCCGCCUGACCGUAGGGGCAGUGGAAGGGGUGACCACACUGCAGCCCAGCCUGCUUAGACUCCAAGACAGCACUGCAUGCUCUGCAGCAGGGGCAUGGCCCUGGAAGCCUUCUUUUGUCUGGCGCUCAUCAGAGACCAUGGGAGGUGCUGGCAGCAUGUGGAGUAUCAUCCGGAGCUUCCUUUGGUUUCUGAGAGUAGCCCCAGGGCCAGCCUUGCAAGUACAAUGGAAGCCUGAGUAUGAAAACAGUUCAUGUGAAUGGAGCCACAUUUGUUCCCUUGGGAAAUACAUAUAUAUGGAGUGACUGCACUAGUCCAGGCCCAGGAGCUGCGAACAAGGAAGGCCUGGCAGAGUAGAGAGAGUAAGAGAGAAGAGAAACAAAGUUAAUGGCAGACCGCCAUGCGCCACAGAGAGAAGUGAAGGGAGGAAGAGAGAACAGGCAGAGAGAGAGAAGAGAGAAGAGAAGGAAGAGCGCAUAAGUGGGCAGGGAUCCUUUACACCUGCGUGCAGACUUAGUUCCCAUGGAACCCUGGGCUGACUGGGUAUUGCCUGAGUGGAUUCUGCCAGGGUUACGGGGAAUUUCGGGGAUCCUAGAAUCCGAACACACAACCCACUUUCCAUCUCGGUUUUCCCGGCCUUACCUCCUGCCUGUGGUGGCUUGAGAUGCCAGAACUCUGUACGCUUCAACUUGCCGCUUUUCAAACUAAGGAUCUUUGGAAUCCACUCAUCUGCCUGUUGGCUGCAGUCUGGUAAGAUACCCCUUAAAUUUCCCAAGGUCAGGUUUGGAAUCCCACUCCAGGAGAGGUGCUUUUUGGCUUUUCAGUUCGGACCACUGGGUCCUUUUGGUUUCGGGAUAGCUGAGUCCCCUUUGGGGCCAGGCCCCCAGCAAUCCCUCUCAGGGCUAUGGGCUUCCGAAGAGGGGCUUUUGCCGGUUUUUUCACUUGCCUCACCCAUGGGGAAUACAUGUAUGGGAACUUUUCUGGUUACUGCCAGCGAAGAGGUAAAUGGGAGGAGUUCUACCUCUCUGUGGGAACCUCCUUUCACCUAACAAUGUCCUGUUUCACUAAAACUCUUAUGUACUAUCCAAGCUUUCUUCUACCUCUCUGUGGGAACAUUCUUUCACCUGGGAAUGUCCCCCACUCUUCUGUUUGUUACUCCUGCCAGCAGUCGGAAACAUGCCUAAGGUUGCCACCAUCUUGGCCAUGUGACCUACCUGUAGGCACGCCCACCACAGCCACCUGUGCCAGCAAACCUGGCUGCCAGAUUUUUUGCUUUUUAUUUUUGUCUCUGAUUCCUUUCACUGGCCCUGUUGU